Molecule: long non-coding RNA, 554 nt
Organism: Girardinichthys multiradiatus
Lineage: Eukaryota; Metazoa; Chordata; Actinopteri; Cyprinodontiformes; Goodeidae
Exons: 4
Source: RefSeq, a predicted model, not a curated record
GGGAAACCAGUUAACAAGGGAAGACACAGAACUGAAGGUGAACAGAAAUCCAGACCAGAGGAACCAUGCAGAAGUCAAACGUGUGUGUGUGAUGUGUGCGUGAUGAGGAAGAGGAACCUUCUGCUUCUUCUUCCUGAAGAACAAACAUGAUGUUUUGUUCAGUCGUUGCUUUAAAAGUGUCUGCAGCAGCUUCUGUUUUCCAACAUUUAACGAUGGCUAUGGAACUCACUUCAGGUUGUAUUUAUGAAAACUCUGUCCAGAAAACCAGAAAAGGAGCAGAUGUGGACGCCUCUCCAGGAGAGAUUUAUGAAAACCCGCUGGUGUUUCAAAAAGGGUGAGACAGGCAGGUGCAGCCGAGCUGAAGAUCAUCAGGACUCAUCAGGACGACCCUUCUUAAGUAGCUGGAUCCCUGAAGGAGGCGUCAGAUUGUUAACUCACCUGAGUUGUAAUCAGACCAGCAGCCGCAGUUCUGUUUCUCUUGUUUUUCCUGACCUAGUCUCUUACCUAAGUUGUUUGUGCAUUUCCUGUUUAUCAAUAAACCCGUUAAACUGUAA